Non-coding RNA from Nothobranchius furzeri (turquoise killifish), 1304 nucleotides. The record is from RefSeq and is a predicted model, not a curated record. NCBI's taxonomy places the organism in Eukaryota, Metazoa, Chordata, Actinopteri, Cyprinodontiformes, Nothobranchiidae.
ACCUGGUUCUCUCUUUUGGUCUCCCUGUUAUGAACCUUGUAACUUUGCCUCCUGUGUUCUCUGACCAUUCUCCAAUACUCGUGAAGUUACUUUGCCAUGUCCUGUCCCUGUGUGUGAAGCACCAGCUACUAGGUUCAGAGCCCUGGAUGCAGAAACUGUUGCAAUGUUCAUGGACUGUAUGUCUGUAAGGUUAGAGACCUUUAACCCAGAUCCAUCUAACAUUAAUCACUAUUCACAACACUUUGAUUUACUUUUUAAUCAGGUCCUGGAUGUGGUUGCCCCUCUCAAGCUUUGCAAGUCUAGGCCUAGGAGGGAGGCUUGGCUCUCUGAUGUCACACGGGCUUGUAGAUCCUCUGAGAGAAAGUGGAAAAAGGAUGGCCUACAGGUCUUGCGUGAGUUGUUCAGAGCAUCUCUGGUUGCUUAUCAGGAUGCAGUGAGGGUUUCUAGAACUGCAUAUUUUGCAGACAUCAUUGAAACAAACUCUAAGAAUCCCAAGAUUAUCUGCAAAACACUGAACUCUGUUCUGGUGUAUCAGGAGUAGAGCUGAAACAACUAAUCGAUUUAAUCGAUUAUAAUCGAUUAUUAAAAUAGUUAACUUUUUUAGUCAUCGAUUAGUUGUUUAAUAAUCAUAUUUUACCGCAUAAAGUCUAUUUUUACCACAAUCUGACAUCGGUUACAAUCUGUUAAAUUUGCCGCCAGUGUGUGGCAGUAAUGAGCCACUGAUCUACCAGUGGAGCCGUAGAAGAUGAAAUGAGCCAAUGAGUGCCCUCGGUUUUCAUGACGUAUCACGUUACUGACGCUCAUCUUGCUGUGAGAGAUGGCGGAACAAGAAGAAAUACGGAAGAAAAAUAGAAGCGACAAAACUGAAGAGAAACCCCAGACUUCACUCUAGAUGCCUUGAAAAGACGGGUGACCUGCAAAAUAUGCAAAAACCAUCUAGCAUGGCACGGAAGCACGACGUCCCUAAGUGAACAUUUGAGACGAAAACAUGUGGGAGCUGAUGCAGCAGAGGAAGAGCACCGCGGUCAAGUGAGCCGUCAUUUGGAAGAGCCAGCCCGAAAAAAACAAGCAACGAUGGACAACUACAUGGGGAACAAGACACUCACCCCCCAGCAAUUCAUACCACUUACAAACUCUAUUCUAAACAUGCUGGUAAAAGACAUGAGGCCACUACCCAUGGUGGAAGGAGCAGGCUUCCAGCUAAUGCUAAAAAAUUAUUCUGGACUGAUAUUUUGCACUGUUUAGCUCAUUUUAUACUGCUGACUGUUCAUGUGCAAUAAAAUAGAUUGCAGUCAACUGCACAA